GACGAACGCUGGCGACGUGCUUAACACAUGCAAGUCGAACGCUGAAGCUUGGUGCUUGCACUGGGUGGAUGAGUGGCGAACGGGUGAGUAAUACGUGAGUAACCUGCCCUUGACUCUGGGAUAAGCCUGGGAAACUGGGUCUAAUACUGGAUACGACAUGUCACCGCAUGGUGGUGUGUGGAAAGGGUUUUACUGGUUUUGGAUGGGCUCACGGCCUAUCAGCUUGUUGGGGGGGUAAUGGCUCACCAAGGCGACGACGGGUAGCCGGCCCGAGGGGGGGGACGGGCCACAUUGGAAGAGAUCACGGGCCAGGAUCCCGCGGGGAGGAAGCGGGGGGGAAUAUUGAAAAGGGGGGGGAGGCCUGAUGCAGCGCCCGGGGGGGAGGGAGGAGGGCCUGGGGUUUGUAACCCUCUUGCGGCGGGGAAGAAGGAAAAGGGAGGGAAGGUAAAAGAGAGCCCCGGGCAAAUUAGGGC
This 473-nucleotide ribosomal RNA is filed under the name uncultured bacterium. RNAcentral's name for it is "partial 16S ribosomal RNA". It matches the Rfam family "Bacterial small subunit ribosomal RNA", at positions 28 to 493 of the family's 1533-position model. The record is from RNAcentral.